Molecule: ribosomal RNA, 359 nt
Filed under: uncultured eukaryote
Lineage: Eukaryota
Description: SSU rRNA
Rfam family: Eukaryotic small subunit ribosomal RNA
Source: RNAcentral
CAAUAGCGUAUAUUAAAGUUGUUGCAGUUAAAAAGCUCGUAGUUGGAUUUCUGGCAUGAUGCGCCUGGCCCGCCGUGAUUACGCGUGUGUGUGCUAGUGCGCGUCUGCCAUCCAUUGGCAGAAUAUGUCUACCCUUAAUUGGGCCGGAUAUGUGAUGUCAAUCUUUUACUUUGAAAAAUUAGAGUGUUUAAAGCAGGCAUUUGCUAUGAAUACAUUAGCAUGGAAUAAUAAUCUAGGACUUCGGUUCUAUUUUGUUGGUUUCUAGUACUGAAGUAAUGAUUGAUAGGGAUAGUUGGGGGUGGCUAGUAUUGGCCGGCCAGAGGUGAAAUUCUUGGAUUCGGUCAAGACUAACUUAUGCG